ACGCCCUUGUACAGUGGCGAACUACAAUGAACGGAAGCCCUACAAAACAAGGAUUCCUACGAACGGAGGCAAACGAAUGAACCUCUUGUUUCCAUCCCUCUCACGGCGGUAACACGGGUUCGAGUCCCGUUGGGCGUACCA
This 141-nucleotide transfer RNA is filed under the name Ensifer meliloti. Its description in RNAcentral is "Sinorhizobium meliloti tRNA-Glu". Lineage: Bacteria; Pseudomonadati; Pseudomonadota; Alphaproteobacteria; Hyphomicrobiales; Rhizobiaceae. The record is from RNAcentral.